This 468-nucleotide ribosomal RNA is filed under the name uncultured bacterium. Its description in RNAcentral is "partial 16S ribosomal RNA". It matches the Rfam family "Bacterial small subunit ribosomal RNA", at positions 28 to 507 of the family's 1533-position model. The record is from RNAcentral.
GACGAACGCUGGCGGCGUGCUUAACACAUGCAAGUCGAACGGCAAGGCCCUGCUUUUGUGGGGUGCUCGAGUGUCGAACGGGUGAGUAACACGUGAGUAACCUUCCCUUGACUUUGGGAUUACUUCAGGAGUCUGGUGCUAAUACCGGAUAGGAGCUCCUGCUGUUUGGUGUGCGUUGGAUAUUUUCGGCGGUUGGGGAUGGACUCGCGGCUUAUCAGCUUGUUGGUGGGGUAGUGGCUUACCAAGGCUUUGACGGGUAGCCGGCCUGAGAGGGUGACCGGCCACAUUGGGACUGAGAUACGGCCCGGACUCCUACGGGAGGCAGCAGUGGGGAAUACUGCACAAUGGGCGGAAGCCUGAUGCAGCUACGCCGCGUGCGGGAUGACGGCCUUCGGGUUGUAAACCGCUUUCGCCUGUGACGAAGCGGGAGUGACGGUAAUGGGUAAAGAAGCACCGGCUAACUACGUG